Molecule: ribosomal RNA, 497 nt
Filed under: uncultured bacterium
Lineage: Bacteria
Description: partial 16S ribosomal RNA
Rfam family: Bacterial small subunit ribosomal RNA
Source: RNAcentral
GAUGAACGCUGGCGGCGUGCCUAAUACAUGCAAGUCGAGCGAACGGACGAGAAGCUUGCUUCUCUGAUGUUAGCGGCGGACGGGUGAGUAACACGUGGAUAACCUACCUAUAAGACUGGGAUAACUUCGGGAAACCGGAGCUAAUACCGGAUGAUAUUUUGAACCGCAUGGUUCAAAAGUGAAAGACGGUCUUGCUGUCACUUAUAGAUGGAUCCGCGCUGCAUUAGCUAGUUGGUAAGGUAACGGCUUACCAAGGCAACGAUGCAUAGCCGACCUGAGAGGGUGAUCAGCCACACUGGAACUGAGACACGGUCCAGACUCCUACGGGAGGCAGCAGUAGGGAAUCUUCCGCAAUGGGCGAAAGCCUGACGGAGCAACGCCGCGUGAGUGAUGAAGGUCUUCGGAUCGUAAAACUCUGUUAUUAGGGAAGAACAUAUGUGUAAGUAACUGUGCACAUCUUGACGGUACCUAAUCAGAAAGCCCCGGCUAACUACGUG